CAGCCGCCGCGGGAAUACGUAGGGUGCAAGCGUUAAUCGGAAUUACUGGGCGUAAAGCGUGCGCAGGCGGUUAUAUAAGACAGAUGUGAAAUCCCCGGGCUCAACCUGGGAACUGCCUUUGUGACUGCAAGGCUAGAGUACGGCAGAGGGGGAUGGAAUUCCGCGUGUAGCAGUGAAAUACGUAGAUAUGCGGAGGAACACCGAUGGCGAAGGCAAUCCCCUGGGCCUGUACUGACGCUCAUGCACGAAAGCGUGGGGAGCAAACAGGAUUAGAUACCCCUGUAGUCCCUGUCUCUUAUAC
This 301-nucleotide ribosomal RNA is filed under the name uncultured bacterium. RNAcentral describes it as "partial 16S ribosomal RNA". It matches the Rfam family "Bacterial small subunit ribosomal RNA", at positions 509 to 807 of the family's 1533-position model. The record is from RNAcentral.